GACGGGGGGGGCAAGUGUUCUUCGGAAUUACUGGGCGUAAAGCGCACGUAGGCGGCUUUUUAAGUCAGGGGUGAAAUCCUGGAGCUCAACUCCAGAACUGCCUUUGAUACUGAGAAGCUUGAGUCCGGGAGAGGUGAGUGGAACUGCGAGUGUAGAGGUGAAAUUCGUAGAUAUUCGCAAGAACACCAGUGGCGAAGGCGGCUCACUGGCCCGGUACUGACGCUGAGGUGCGAAAGCGUGGGGAGCAAACAGG
Molecule: ribosomal RNA, 253 nt
Filed under: uncultured bacterium
Lineage: Bacteria
Description: partial 16S ribosomal RNA
Rfam family: Bacterial small subunit ribosomal RNA
Source: RNAcentral